CGUUCGGGUGUCGGCGCAAUGCGGAGGAAGUAUCCCUCAACUUGUUGCCCAAUGCUCGCAGUUCGUCAAAAAAGAGGGACCACAAAUCCCUCCGUCCUCCGGUUGCUGUUCUGCGGUGAAAGCUGCUGACGUCCCUUGUGUUUGCGCCCUCGUUACGCCGGCUAUAGAGAAGAUUAUCAGCAUGGAGAAGGUGGUCUACGUAGCUCGUACUUGUGGCGUCACGGUUAAACCCAGCACAAAAUGUGGAAGUGAGUUUCUUUGUUGAAACCCUAAUCAAACUUCUAGUACGUACCAUGUGUGUACACAUGCAUGUUUUUAUCAUAUACUUACGGAUUUUUUUUUUUUUGAAAUCAUGAUUUCGAUAUUUCAGG
This 371-nucleotide long non-coding RNA is filed under the name Citrus maxima (pomelo). RNAcentral's name for it is "long non-coding RNA (CMAX_LNC000517)". Lineage: Eukaryota; Viridiplantae; Streptophyta; Magnoliopsida; Sapindales; Rutaceae. The record is from RNAcentral.